Onychostruthus taczanowskii (white-rumped snowfinch) is the source of this 1669-nucleotide long non-coding RNA. RefSeq lists it as uncharacterized. NCBI's taxonomy places the organism in Eukaryota, Metazoa, Chordata, Aves, Passeriformes, Passeridae. The transcript is spliced from 3 exons. The record is from RefSeq and is a predicted model, not a curated record.
CACAGCACUUAGUAAGCUGGAAGAAUUAGACUCCCUCUUACAAAACAGUCUAAAGGGACUCUCAGAACUGGAUGUACAGGGCUCUCCAGGAAACCAUACCAGAACAUGGACUGGCUUUAGAAAGUGUGGCUUAUCUUACUUUCCAGGUGCCUUGUUUACCCGGACUGCGGAUGAACAAGGGCCUCCCUUUUCCAAGACUCUGCAUCAUGGGGAGUAAUGAAGAGGACUUGUCAUUGCCUCCAGCUGCCAUUUAAAGCUGUCUCUGCCCUCUGCAGAAAACAGUGGAGAUGUUUUCCAAAGAAAAUUUCUUCAAGAUUUGAGUCUGGGUGCCAGAAGAAUACUUCUCUAAACUGCAAGAUAAUCUGUAAUGCAUCUUGGCCUUGAGCAGCAAACUUCAGAGUUUGUCUGUAUUAUGGAUUUUGAAGACAAAAUGAAAAUUGUCGUUCAUUGGUUUAUUCCCAAGAUUAUGUUUCAGCAGCUCUUCUCUGAAGCUGUAAGAUCAGCUUCCAGUUUCAGUUAUUUCACUGUCAGGAGCACAGCAUUAUUUGGAGAAUUGCUGAUGACAGACUCACAUUUGCUGUUUUGGCUUCCAUUAUGAAAAAACCACAAAGGAAAAGCUAUGUAGCAAACUACUUUGGCUUGCCAUUUGUUAAAAUGAAUGCAGAUUCUUCUGCUGUACUGGGACCACCUCUGCAAUUAAAAAAAACCCCAUAAAUAUUCCCUGCAGCAUACUAAGAAAUUCUCCUGAAGUCAAACAGGAAGCUCCAAGACCUUCAGAAGGCAGGCAUUGCCUGUCCUCUAUUAUGACUGUAAAGAAAAGAAGUUUUGAUUCCCUUCAGCAACAGAAUGUGAUCAACAAGGAUGCAACAAGCAACAGUUUAUUUGUAGAAAAAAUCCUUUAAAAUUUACUACAAUGUAAGAUUAAGGAAAAAAUAGUCUUAAUAUAUAUACAUACAAUAUAUAUAAACAAACACAUAUCGCACCAUGAAAAUUACAUGCUUUUAAGAAUAGAGAAUGGAUUAUAUUCCCUCAUAUCACUUUAAAAGUUAUCACUGCAAGGAACCUUGCUUCCUUUUUUUUUUUUUUUAUCCCCAUCAAAGUGUUCAAGUACAGGAAGUAAGUAAUGCAGGAUCUAAUAAUAGAAAACCUUUGUUACACAAAUUACAACUGACAGCUAGACAAUAUUAUUCUGCAGUAUCCAACACGCGUAUUUUUUGAACUCUAUUAUAAUGAAAAGAACUUUUACCUGAGGUGCAUGGAAAUAACAAAGCAUGAUAAUUGGCAAGUUUAAGAGAUUUCACAUUAUGAUUUGACUGUAAUUGAAAUUGAUUAGGUAUCACACCUAUACCUAUAGUACUGGCACAAGAAUGCUCUGCGUGAGUCAUCACCAAUGACUUGGAAGUGCAGGAAAAAUUAACAGGCAAGCACCACUUGCAAUGAUAAGCAUGCAGACAAUUUAAGUGAAACAGAGGUAGCAUGUUCUUGUAACUCCAGCAGGGUCAUUCAAAUCAACUGCACCCUCCCUCCUGCAAAAGGCACUCACUUUUUCAGCUAAAAAUGAUGCACUUAAGUUUGGUCAGAUUGACCACAAAUGGUGGAUUUCUCUCCUUACAAAUAUAAAAAGAAGUUAAGCAGAGGACACAGUGAAAAGGAAAAAAAAAAAAAGAAU